CCUCGACCUUACGUUGUCCAGCAUUCAGUUGGGCACUCUAAGGUGACUGCCGGCUAAAAGUCGGAGGAAGGUGGGGAUGACGUCAAAUCAUCAUGCCCUUAUGACCUGGGCUACACACGUGCUACAAUGGGCGGUACAAAGGGUCGCGAACCCGCGAGGGGGAGCCAAUCCCAAAAAAGCCGCUCUCAGCUCGGAUUGCAGGCUGCAACUCGCCUGCAUGAAGCCGGAAUCGCUAGUAAUCGCGGAUCAGCAUGCCGCGGUGAAUACGUUCCCGGGCCUU
This 280-nucleotide ribosomal RNA is filed under the name uncultured Paenibacillus sp. Its description in RNAcentral is "partial 16S ribosomal RNA". It matches the Rfam family "Bacterial small subunit ribosomal RNA", at positions 1103 to 1382 of the family's 1533-position model. The record is from RNAcentral. Lineage: Bacteria; Bacillati; Bacillota; Bacilli; Caryophanales; Paenibacillaceae.